CUUCACUUUAGGCUUUUCUUUAUGUAACUUUGGCCCAUAGGCUAGAUUAUGCUCCUUAAGUCAUAAUUGCAAGUGUUGCACUAAAUCUGCCCCAUAUGAAUUGAAACACGCUCUAAAUUUAUUUGGAUCAUAUGAAUAUGAUUUUGAAUCCCUUUUAGAUGUAUUUGAAUGAUAUAAGGUUGCUUCAUACUAUUAGUGCAAAUAUACUCUAUUGGAUACAUAUCAUUCCCUCCUUCUUUAGAAAAGAUUUAUCCUCAAAUCUUGCUCAUGUUCAUG
Molecule: long non-coding RNA, 276 nt
Filed under: Manihot esculenta (cassava)
Lineage: Eukaryota; Viridiplantae; Streptophyta; Magnoliopsida; Malpighiales; Euphorbiaceae
Description: long non-coding RNA (MESC_LNC000177)
Source: RNAcentral